GGUUAAGCGACUAAGCGUACACGGUGGAUGCCCUGGCAGUCAGAGGCGAUGAAGGGCGUGCUAAUCUGCGAUAAGCGCCGGUAAGGUGAUAUGAACCGUUAUAACCGGCGAUACCCGAAUGGGGAAACCCAGUGUGAUUCGUCACACUAUCAUUAACUGAAUCCAUAGGUUAAUGAGGCGAACCGGGGGAACUGAAACAUCUAAGUACCCCGAGGAAAAGAAAUCAACCGAGAUUCCCCCAGUAGCGGCGAGCGAACGGGGAGGAGCCCAGAGCCUGAAUCAGCAUGUGUGUUAGUGGAAGCGUCUGGAAAGGCGCGCGAUACAGGGUGACAGCCCCGUACACAAAAGCGCAUGUGCUGUGAGCUCGAUGAGUAGGGCGGGACACGUGGUAUCCUGUCUGAAUAUGGGGGGACCAUCCUCCAAGGCUAAAUACUCCUGACUGACCGAUAGUGAACCAGUACCGUGAGGGAAAGGCGAAAAGAACCCCGGCGAGGGGAGUGAAAAAGAACCUGAAACCGUGUACGUACAAGCAGUGGGAGCACAGGUUUACCUGUGUGACUGCGUACCUUUUGUAUAAUGGGUCAGCGACUUAUAUUCUGUAGCAAGGUUAACCGAAUAGGGGAGCCGGAGGGAAACCGAGUCUUAAUUGGGCGUUAAGUUGCAGGGUAUAGACCCGAAACCCGGUGAUCUAGCCAUGGGCAGGUUGAAGGUUGGGUAACACUAACUGGAGGACCGAACCGACUAAUGUUGAAAAAUUAGCGGAUGACCUGUGGCUGGGGGUGAAAGGCCAAUCAAACCGGGAGAUAGCUGGUUCUCCCCGAAAGCUAUUUAGGUAGCGCCUCGUGAAUUCAUCUCCGGGGGUAGAGCACUGUUUCGGCUAGGGGGCCAUCCCGGCUUACCAACCCGAUGCAAACUGCGAAUACCGGAGAAUGUUAUCACGGGAGACACACGGCGGGUGCUAACGUCCGUCGUGAAGAGGGAAACAACCCAGACCGCCAGCUAAGGUCCCAAAGUCAUGGUUAAGUGGGAAACGAUGUGGGAAGGCCCAGACAGCCAGGAUGUUGGCUUAGAAGCAGCCAUCAUUUAAAGAAAGCGUAAUAGCUCACUGGUCGAGUCGGCCUGCGCGGAAGAUGUAACGGGGCUAAACCAUGCACCGAAGCUGCGGCAGCGACGCUUAUGCGUUGUUGGGUAGGGGAGCGUUCUGUAAGCCUGUGAAGGUGGCCUGUGAGGGUUGCUGGAGGUAUCAGAAGUGCGAAUGCUGACAUAAGUAACGAUAAAGCGGGUGAAAAGCCCGCUCGCCGGAAGACCAAGGGUUCCUGUCCAACGUUAAUCGGGGCAGGGUGAGUCGACCCCUAAGGCGAGGCCGAAAGGCGUAGUCGAUGGGAAACGGGUUAAUAUUCCCGUACUUGGUGUUACUGCGAAGGGGGGACGGAGAAGGCUAUGUUGGCCGGGCGACGGUUGUCCCGGUUUAAGCGUGUAGGUGUGUGUUCCAGGUAAAUCCGGUUCACUUUAACACUGAGGCGUGAUGACGAGGCACUACGGUGCUGAAGUAACAAAUGCCCUGCUUCCAGGAAAAGCCUCUAAGCAUCAGGUAACAUCAAAUCGUACCCCAAACCGACACAGGUGGUCAGGUAGAGAAUACCAAGGCGCUUGAGAGAACUCGGGUGAAGGAACUAGGCAAAAUGGUGCCGUAACUUCGGGAGAAGGCACGCUGACACGUAGGUGAAGUGAUUUACUCAUGGAGCUGAAGUCAGUCGAAGAUACCAGCUGGCUGCAACUGUUUAUUAAAAACACAGCACUGUGCAAACACGAAAGUGGACGUAUACGGUGUGACGCCUGCCCGGUGCCGGAAGGUUAAUUGAUGGGGUCAGCGCAAGCGAAGCUCCUGAUCGAAGCCCCGGUAAACGGCGGCCGUAACUAUAACGGUCCUAAGGUAGCGAAAUUCCUUGUCGGGUAAGUUCCGACCUGCACGAAUGGCGUAAUGAUGGCCAGGCUGUCUCCACCCGAGACUCAGUGAAAUUGAACUCGCUGUGAAGAUGCAGUGUACCCGCGGCAAGACGGAAAGACCCCGUGAACCUUUACUAUAGCUUGACACUGAACAUUGAGCCUUGAUGUGUAGGAUAGGUGGGAGGCUUUGAAGCGUGGACGCCAGUCUGCGUGGAGCCGACCUUGAAAUACCACCCUUUAAUGUUUGAUGUUCUAACGUGGACCCGUGAUCCGGGUUGCGGACAGUGUCUGGUGGGUAGUUUGACUGGGGCGGUCUCCUCCUAAAGAGUAACGGAGGAGCACGAAGGUUGGCUAAUCCUGGUCGGACAUCAGGAGGUUAGUGCAAUGGCAUAAGCCAGCUUGACUGCGAGCGUGACGGCGCGAGCAGGUGCGAAAGCAGGUCAUAGUGAUCCGGUGGUUCUGAAUGGAAGGGCCAUCGCUCAACGGAUAAAAGGUACUCCGGGGAUAACAGGCUGAUACCGCCCAAGAGUUCAUAUCGACGGCGGUGUUUGGCACCUCGAUGUCGGCUCAUCACAUCCUGGGGCUGAAGUAGGUCCCAAGGGUAUGGCUGUUCGCCAUUUAAAGUGGUACGCGAGCUGGGUUUAGAACGUCGUGAGACAGUUCGGUCCCUAUCUGCCGUGGGCGCUGGAGAACUGAGGGGGCUGCUCCUAGUACGAGAGGACCGGAGUGGACGCAUCACUGGUGUUCGGGUUGUCAUGCCAAUGGCACUGCCCGGUAGCUAAAUGCGGAAGAGAUAAGUGCUGAAAGCAUCUAAGCACGAAACUUGCCCCGAGAUGAGUUCUCCCUGAGACUUAGAGUCUCCUGAAGGAACGUUGAAGACGACGACGUUGAUAGGCCGGGUGUGUAAGCGCAGCGAUGCGUUGAGCUAACCGGUACUAAUGAACCGUGAGGCUUAACCUU
RNAcentral lists this ribosomal RNA (2907 nucleotides) under Salmonella enterica subsp. enterica serovar Dublin. RNAcentral's name for it is "23S ribosomal RNA". It matches the Rfam family "Bacterial large subunit ribosomal RNA". The record is from RNAcentral. Lineage: Bacteria; Pseudomonadati; Pseudomonadota; Gammaproteobacteria; Enterobacterales; Enterobacteriaceae.